UACGUAGGGUGCGAGCGUUAAUCGGAAUUACUGGGCGUAAAGCGUGCGCAGGCGGCUCUGCAAGACAGAUGUGAAAUGCCCGGGCUCAACCUGGGAACUGCAUUUGUGACUGCAGUGCUGGAGUGCGGCAGAGGGAGAUGGAAUUCCGCGUGUAGCAGUGAAAUGCGUAGAUAUGCGGAGGAACACCGAUGGCGAAGGCAAUCUCCUGGGCCUGCACUGACGCUCAUGCACGAAAGCGUGGGGAGCAAACAGG
Molecule: ribosomal RNA, 253 nt
Filed under: uncultured bacterium
Lineage: Bacteria
Description: partial 16S ribosomal RNA
Rfam family: Bacterial small subunit ribosomal RNA
Source: RNAcentral